RNAcentral lists this ribosomal RNA (120 nucleotides) under Kitasatospora misakiensis. RNAcentral describes it as "partial 16S rRNA". It matches the Rfam family "Bacterial small subunit ribosomal RNA", at positions 162 to 283 of the family's 1533-position model. The record is from RNAcentral. Lineage: Bacteria; Bacillati; Actinomycetota; Actinomycetes; Kitasatosporales; Streptomycetaceae.
UCUAAUACCGGAUAUGACCUGGGACCGCAUGGUCCUGGGUGUAAAGCUCCGGCGGUGCAGGAUGRGCCCGCGGCCUAUCAGCUUGUUGGUGGGGUAAUGGCCUACCAAGGCGACGACGGG